This 86-nucleotide transfer RNA is filed under the name Candidatus Alcyoniella australis. Its description in RNAcentral is "tRNA-Tyr". It matches the Rfam family "tRNA". From Rfam's summary of the family: Transfer RNA (tRNA) molecules are approximately 80 nucleotides in length. Their secondary structure includes four short double-helical elements and three loops (D, anti-codon, and T loops). Lineage: Bacteria; Candidatus Lernaellota; Candidatus Lernaellaia; Candidatus Lernaellales; Candidatus Alcyoniellaceae. The record is from RNAcentral.
GGAGGGAUGCCCGAGUGGCCAAAGGGAGCAGACUGUAAAUCUGCCGGCGGAUGCCUACGGAGGUUCAAAUCCUCCUCCCUCCACCA